Long non-coding RNA from Wyeomyia smithii (pitcher-plant mosquito), 3547 nucleotides. RefSeq lists it as uncharacterized. The transcript has 4 exons. The record is from RefSeq and is a predicted model, not a curated record. NCBI's taxonomy places the organism in Eukaryota, Metazoa, Arthropoda, Insecta, Diptera, Culicidae.
GCCCGCAGUGUGGUGUGGCUGGAUACUGGUGCGAAAAUCUCAUCAUAAUCCUCUCCGUACUUUUGGGAAUAUCCCUGUGCAACCAGACGAGCUUUAUACUUAGUGAUGCCUCCAGCUGCGUUUCUCUUCAGUUUAUAUACCCAGCGACAUCCAACCGCUUUUCGUCCAGCAGCUUUCCUUUUCUUCGCAGCAAAACUUCCUUGAAUGCUUGGAAAUUCGUCUGCGCGUUCAAGAGCCUCGUAGCGGUUUUGUUUUUGAUGUUUCGUUGUCGAUUCCACUCCGGGCAAGUUGAAUCAGCUGUGCGGUGAUCCGACUCAACUCUACAGUAGAGGCGGUUCAUUUUAUGUGGGCAUUCGUCCGUUCCUGUUCCUUCGUGCUGCUGGGUGCAGUUUUUGCAUCGCUGUCUGGAUCGACAGUUUUCUGUACGGUGAUUGUAGCGUAAGCAGUUCAAACAUAGAACUGGUUUGCUUAUGAAAGGUCUAACUCUAUUGAUACAGCAAAAUAUGCGGACAUUAGAUGGGAGCUUGUUUGCGCGAAAAGUUAUUCCGAUUUUAUUCGUUACAUGUUUUUGAUUUCCAUCAUAGCGAUGAAGACGAUUUAUGCUUAGAAUAGGAACAUCGAACAGGAUAUUAUCACUUAUUUCAUCGAUAGUCAUGUCCAUUGGCACACCGGCUACUACUCCUGAAACUGUAACGAAAUUUCUGGGUAUGUAUGCCUUGUAGCAAAAUUUGUUUAGCUCGGAGAGGUCCUGCAGCUCGUUGGCAGAUUGAUACGUGUUCAUAAAGACAAGAACUUUGUUCUUGCCUAGAGUGCGAAUGUUACAUACAUUAUUCCUGAGUGUCGCCACAUUCGACAGUAGACGCCCUACCGAAAGCUUGUCAAUACGUGCUUCAUUAUUUGUACCUUUAUUAUCCACUAGCUGUAUAAUAAUCCGAUAUGGAGCUGCAUCCGUUUCGUCGUAUAUAUAUUACUGGAAAUCUCUAUCGUUUUUCAUCCUGUUAGUUUCAUCUGGUGGUUUUUUCGCUGGAACCUCCAUUUUGGAGGUUAUGUACAGUUUUCACUGUUCGCUUUUUUGUCAGUUUAGAUAAUACUGUAUUUGAAUUCGGUAUUUAUACUAUGCCGACGAAGUGUAGUAAAACUAAGACAAAAUUUCGACUGUUAAAAAUUACUUCCGAGCUGAAAUUAAAGAAGUAGUUGUAGACCACGUGAAAAAUACGUCCUCUUCCUUUCACUCUAGAUCCGCCAUUUGUUGCUUUUGUUUCCACACAUAAGGCUGAUACAAAUUUCGAAUUCUUUUUAUGUCCAAGGUUAUCAAAGUUAGCAGAGGGGGUGGCAAAAAAUAAAUAACACCGAGACGAAAAAAAAAGAAAUAUUUUUGAUCAAAGUUUGUGUGCAAGUUAUAACUUGCACUCAAAUAAAUGUUGAAAAAUAACACUUUAUUAUUAUUUAUUUAGCUUGCCUUUCGACGACACUCUCGCUGUCACCUGACUUGAUUGUUGCUAAAUUAAGCAUUUAUGCUGUCGGAAAAUCAAUGAAAUGAACAAAACGGUUUGAGCUUUUUUUCUUCCCCUUCCAAUAUUCAAGAUUAUUGAAGGGGGGGGGGGGAUGACAUAGAAUGAAAAUAAAAUUUGUAACGGCCUAAAUUGACAAUUGCAUAUGAGUACUCGCGUAGGUGCGAACAGCGUUGAAAAUCUCAUUUACUUGUGUCAGGGCCAAUAAUUGUCGUUUUUUUUUGCUUCUGACGGUGGCAAGGCUCGCUGCCUAAAUACAUUCUUGAACAAACAUCUCAAACGAGUACUCACCAGCACGGCGCUUUUUUCCUAAACGUAUUUUGUCAUUGCUUCUACAAAAUUUGUAGAAUGACAAUUACAUAAUUCAACCUUUUUUUUUUGUUCGUCCGUCCCCUUGGCAAUAUUUUUCAUAUCGUUUGCAGCCCCUGGCUUGGAAUGUUCUAGCAGAGUGGGAGAGUUCAGGUAUCAAAUUGAACUAUGGUUUGUUUGAUUGCUUCAGUCAUGUUUCAAGAGCAAGAUUCAACAACAAAUGAAGUAUUAUAAAGAAAAAUUGCUUUGUCCACCAUCACUGAUUUUUCUUUCGCGUACCCCCUGAAAGCUUUCGAGUACCCCUAGGGGUACGCGUACCCCAGAUUGAGAACCGCUGACAUAAUUGAUCUCGUCUCAAUAUUUCUUAGAAAUAUAAUGAAGUAGACAGAAAUGAACCAAAACAACAUCGCCAAACGGAUGAUAGUGUGCAUCUCUCGGAUGCGCGAGUGUCAAUUGACCAUCUGUUCUUUGUGCGAGGAGCGACGGUCGUUCUACACUUAAGAGCGAAAGCCUGAUGACCAUUUAUCUCUGCCCUCCACAGGUUAUUUUAGCUAUUUGUUCGAAGGAAAGGAUAUCUACAAUUGGGUUGUUUAGCUAUAACCAACUGUCAUUGUAGCAAUUUGAAGCGAUUUUUAUUCUUCAUUUAAAAAUCGAACGAGAAUGAUAUAGAAUUUAAAAAAAUUAUCUUUUGCUCAGUAAAUUACACUCUUUCAACUGAUAUAUAAAAUUCCGUGAAUAGCCAAACAACCCAAUAGUCGAACAUGUGAUCGUGUCCUGAACAUCGCCAUGAUUUUUUGAAAUGCAAGGUAAAACAAAACUUCCAGGAAACUAGCGCAAAGUUUCACUCGUUUUUAAAAUUUUUUCUUCAAAUUCUGAAGAAACAAUUUUUAACUCAAAUAGUCAUCGAUAUACUUUCAACACAAGCUAUCUUGUUUUCAGAAUUUUUUCUUCAAAUUUUGAAGAAACAAUUUUUAACUCAAAUAGUCAUCGAUAUACUUUCAACACAAGUUAUCUUCAAGUUUUUUUUACGUAUUGUACAAUACAUAAAAAAAUUUUGGAGGUAAUCCUUAUUGUUCAUCCAGUUUGAUUUAGAUUUUUGUUUUUGACAAUAUGUUUACCACAUAUAUACACACUUAAAACUGGAUCUCGAGCUCGGCAAAAAAACAUCCGAGUUCACUCGGCAACUUUGGAUUCAACCGGUAUUUCAGCAAAAAAAUGCCGGUUGCCGACAGUUGUCAGAUCAUUUUGCCGAGACUUCGUCCAAAAAACUAAGCUUGACGAAUCUCGUCUCUAUUUUUUGCCGAAUUUAUCGUUAAACACUGUUGAUGCCGAGGUCAGCAAAAACAUUACUGGUAUCUCGGCACAAAUUUUACUCGUUGCCGUGUUUCGGCAAUACAGCUGUCAUUCUCAUGAACGAGUUGCCGUCAUUUUUCUUAGUGAAAAUUUUUGCGUGUUACGGGUGAGCAAACAGGAAUCGGAUACAAGUUUGGCUGAAAUUUGUGCAAAUUACAAGUGUUUACAAUCCAGUAGCCGAAAAAAAUGUAGUACAGUUUGGGGGGAAGUGGCUGGAACUCAAAAAGUGUAGUUUCAAAUUGUGUGAAUACAAUAUUGUAUUUGUUUUAGGGAUAGGCAUUAGACGUAAUUUUAGAUUAGAUGUUUAGCUCAAUGCCCUACUGGCGAGCAAGAUAAAGAUAAGUAUUCAAGAUUUAGUAUAAAUAAAUUUCUUU